This 128-nucleotide transfer RNA is filed under the name Plantactinospora alkalitolerans. Its description in RNAcentral is "Plantactinospora sp. S1510 tRNA-OTHER". It matches the Rfam family "tRNA". Rfam says of the family: Transfer RNA (tRNA) molecules are approximately 80 nucleotides in length. Lineage: Bacteria; Bacillati; Actinomycetota; Actinomycetes; Micromonosporales; Micromonosporaceae. The record is from RNAcentral.
GGGUCGCUAGCUCAACUGGCAGAGCAUUCGGCUGAGUAGCGCGUCCGCUUUCCGCCUGUGCGGUCAUGGGAGCGCUUCCUUCUCCUGGUUGGACCGAAUGGUUCGGGGUUCGAGUCCCCGGCGACCCA